UCCCUGGUAGUCCAGUGGCUAAGACUCUGAGUUCCCAAUGCAGAAGGCCUGGGUUUGAUCCUUGGUCAGGGAA
Molecule: transfer RNA, 73 nt
Organism: Ovis aries (sheep)
Lineage: Eukaryota; Metazoa; Chordata; Mammalia; Artiodactyla; Bovidae
Rfam family: tRNA
About the family: Transfer RNA (tRNA) molecules are approximately 80 nucleotides in length. Their secondary structure includes four short double-helical elements and three loops (D, anti-codon, and T loops).
Source: Rfam